Molecule: long non-coding RNA, 935 nt
Filed under: Mus spicilegus (steppe mouse)
Lineage: Eukaryota; Metazoa; Chordata; Mammalia; Rodentia; Muridae
Description: lncRNA (ENSMSIG00000000802.1)
Source: RNAcentral
GCCAUCUUAGGUUGCUAGUGGCCUCUAUCACCUUACACUGAUCAGAGCGAGCUCCUGAACUUAACCCUCAUAGUCUCACAGCUACGCUUGCCCUCAGUGAGCCAGGCAGUCACUUCACAGGCCACAUUCCUACUGAGCCAGGCUGCCAUCUUACUCAGGAGUUAUUACUGAUCCAAACAUUCCCUUUGUUAGAUUCUUUGAAGCACGUUCAUCCUUGUGUGUCCAACACGCAGCAGGGGCCUGGGAGCCAAAGAGACAUGAGAUAUUUGCUUCACCCCUUGCAUUUCUAAAUAACUACAUUACCUAUCAAGGAUGGGGGUGAUACACGAAGCUAAAUAAAUCUUGAAUAAAAAUAUACACCUUUGCCAGAAAUCCAGAGUUAUUCAGGAUAAUCCUGUUCUUCAUCUGACGAGAUGGCACUUACUUCCUACUAACACUGACCGGCUGUGGGAAAGCCAUGCAUAUUUUUUUCCCAUUUUCCUGACAGUGUGAUAGACUGAGCGGAGCCUGCCAACCUGACACCAGUGCAAAUUAAACUCACAUCUUGAUCGUCUCGGCUACAUUCUAUGUGGUAUAGGAGGGAAAAUGAAUAAAUCAACUCAACCGGUGGACAAAUGUCUAUUUUUGCUGGGUAACAAGCUGUAAGAUGCUGAAUGGCCAAACUCCAAGCAGGACGGCCGGUGUUAUCAGAAGAAUUCCUACUUUAAACUGAUGAAGUUCACUACAGCAGCAUAUAUCCAUCUAACCCAGCAGCUCAGCAUUCUACUACGGUACUGGUACAAGAAAUUGGAAGACCUAAGGAGAAACCACUGUCACUUGCUCUGCCACCAGAGGGCAGUCACUGCAAACACACAGGGUCUAGAGGAGAGAUGGAGAGGAUUGAAUAAGUGUAAGGAAAGUGCCUGGAGUUUGGUAGACAUUUUCUAAAACUGCUG